Molecule: ribosomal RNA, 560 nt
Filed under: Paraphaeosphaeria neglecta
Lineage: Eukaryota; Fungi; Ascomycota; Dothideomycetes; Pleosporales; Didymosphaeriaceae
Description: eukaryotic LSU rRNA
Rfam family: 5.8S ribosomal RNA (bases 191-344)
Source: RNAcentral
AACAGGUGCGGUCGCGGCCCCCGGGGGCUUGCUCCCGGGUGGUAGGGGAAACACCCUCACGCGCCGCCUGCCUGUACCCUCUUUUUACGAGCACCUUUCGUUCUCCUUCGGCGGGGCAACCUGCCGCUGGAACCAAAACAAAACCUUUUUUGCAUCUAGCAUUACCUGUUCUGAUACAAAUAAUCGUUACAACUUUCAACAAUGGAUCUCUUGGCUCUGGCAUCGAUGAAGAACGCAGCGAAAUGCGAUAAGUAGUGUGAAUUGCAGAAUUCAGUGAAUCAUCGAAUCUUUGAACGCACAUUGCGCCCCUUGGUAUUCCAUGGGGCAUGCCUGUUCGAGCGUCAUCUACACCCUCAAGCUCUGCUUGGUGUUGGGCGUCUGUCCCGCCUCUGCGCGCGGACUCGCCCCAAAUUCAUUGGCAGCGGUCUUUGCCUCCUCUCGCGCAGCACAAUUGCGUCUGCGGGGGGGCGUGGCCCGCGUCCACGAAGCAACAUUACCGUCUUUGACCUCGGAUCAGGUAGGGAUACCCGCUGAACUUAAGCAUAUCAAUAAGCGGAGGA